GGAUCCAGACUUUGAUCCUGGCUCAGGAUGAACGCUAGCUACAGGCUUAACACAUGCAAGUCGAGGGGCAGCAUGAACUUAGCUUGCUAAGUUUGAUGGCGACCGGCGCACGGGUGAGUAACACGUAUCCAACCUUCCGUUUACUCAGGGAUAGCCUUUCGAAAGAAAGAUUAAUACCUGAUAGUAUGGUGAGGUUGCAUGAUAACACCAUUAAAGAUUCAUUGGUAAACGAUGGGGAUGCGUUCCAUUAGGUAGUAGGCGGGGUAACGGCCCACCUAGCCAACGAUGGAUAGGGGUUCUGAGAGGGAGGUCCCCCACAUUGGAACUGAGACACGGUCCAAACUCCUACGGGAGGCAGCAGUGAGGAAUAUUGGUCAAUGGGCGCGAGCCUGAACCAGCCAAGUAGCGUGAAGGAUGAAGGUCCUACGGAUUGUAAACUUCUUUUAUAAGGGAAUAAAGUCGCCUACGUGUAGGCGUUUGUAUGUACCUUAUGAAUAAGCAUCGGCUAACUCCGUGCCAGCAGCCGCGGUAAUACGGAGGAUGCGAGCGUUAUCCGGAUUUAUUGGGUUUAAAGGGAGCGUAGACGGAGGAUUAAGUCAGUUGUGAAAGUUUGCGGCUCAACCGUAAAAUUGCAGUUGAUACUGGUCCCCUUGAGUGCAGUUGAGGCAGGCGGAAUUCGUGGUGUAGCGGUGAAAUGCUUAGAUAUCACGAAGAACCCCGAUUGCGAAGGCAGCCUGCUAAGCUGUAACUGACGUUGAUGCUCGAAAGUGUGGGUAUCAAACAGGAUUAGAUACCCUGGUAGUCCACACGGUAAACGAUGGAUACUCGCUGUUGGCGAUAUACUGUCAGCGGCCAAGCGAAAGCAUUAAGUAUCCCACCUGGGGAGUACGCCGGCAACGGUGCAACUAAAGGGAAUUGACGG
Molecule: ribosomal RNA, 922 nt
Filed under: uncultured Bacillota bacterium
Lineage: Bacteria; Bacillati; Bacillota
Description: bacterial SSU rRNA
Rfam family: Bacterial small subunit ribosomal RNA
Source: RNAcentral